AACGCAAAUUGCGCCCAACGCUCCGGCUAAGGGCAUGUCUGCCUCAGCGUCGGCAUACCCCCAUCGCCCACUCACAUAGUGAGCGGAUAUGGCAGUCCCAGUCAGGGUCGGCCGAAUUACAGCAGUGUCUGCCAGGACCCGCCCUGUUGGCGUGGCUAUUCAGUUCGGUAGGUAACCCAUUGGUUGCAUGCCACUGUUGGCCAUUGUGGCUCUGCGCAGCGUACUGGCAGGAAACGAGGGCGUCAGCCCUAUUCUCACUUCGACCUGAGGUCAGGCAAGAUUACCCGCUGAACUUAA
This 297-nucleotide unclassified non-coding RNA is filed under the name uncultured fungus. Its description in RNAcentral is "partial contains 5.8S ribosomal RNA, internal transcribed spacer 2, and large subunit ribosomal RNA". Lineage: Eukaryota; Fungi. The record is from RNAcentral.